This 274-nucleotide ribosomal RNA is filed under the name uncultured bacterium. RNAcentral describes it as "partial 16S ribosomal RNA". It matches the Rfam family "Bacterial small subunit ribosomal RNA", at positions 523 to 796 of the family's 1533-position model. The record is from RNAcentral.
AUACGGAGGGUGCGAGCGUUGUUCGGAAUUAUUGGGCGUAAAGAGCAUGUAGGCGGUCUGUUAAGUCUGGUGUGAAAGCCCGGGGCUCAACCCCGGAAGUGCAUUGGAUACUGGCAGACUUGAGUAUGGGAGAGGAAAGCGGAAUUCCGAGUGUGGGAGUGAAAUCCGUAGAUAUUCGGAGGAACACCAGUGGCGAAGGCGGCUUUCUGGACCAAUACUGACGCUGAGAUGCGAAAGCGUGGGGAGCGAACAGGAUUAGAAACCCCAGUAGUCC